UCAGCAGCCGCGGUAAUACGUAGGUCCCGAGCGUUGUCCGGAUUUAUUGGGCGUAAAGCGAGCGCAGGCGGUUAGAAAAGUCUGAAGUGAAAGGCAGUGGCUCAACCUUGUAGGCUUUGGAAACUGUUUAACUUGAGUGCAGAAGGGGAGAGUGGAACUCCAUGUGUAGCGGUGAAAUGCGUAGAUAUAUGGAGGAACACCGGUGGCGAAAGCGGCUCUCUGGUCUGUAACUGACGCUGAGGCUCGAAAGCGUGGGGAGCGGACAGGAUUAGAUACCCUGGUAGUCCACGCCGUAAACGAUGAGUGCUAGGUGUUAGGUCCUUUCCGGGACUUAGUGCCGCAGCUAACGCAUUAAGCAUCCCACCUGGGGAGUACGCCGGCAACGGUGAAACUCAAAGGAAUUGACGGGGGCCCGCACAAGCGGAGGAACAUGUGGUUUAAUUCGAUGAUACGCGAGGAACCUUACCCGGGCUUGAAUUGCAGACGAACGAUUCAGAGAUGAAGAGGCCCUUCGGGGCGUCUGUGAAGGUGCUGCAUGGUUGUCGUCAGCUCGUGCCGUGAGGUGUCGGCUUAAGUGCCAUAACGAGCGCAACCCCUUUUUUCAGUUGCCAUCAGGUAAUGCUGGGCACUCUGGAGAUACUGCCACCGUAAGGUGUGAGGAAGGUGGGGAUGACGUCAAAUCAGCACGGCCCUUACGUCCGGGGCUACACACGUGUUACAAUGGCCGGUACAGAGGGAAGCCACCAGGCGACUGGGCGCUGAUCCAUGAAAACCGGUCUCAGUUCGGACUGGAGUCUGCAACCCGACCCCACGAAGCUGGAUUCGCUAGUAAUCGCGCAUCAGCCAUGGCGCGGUGAAUACGUUCCCGGGCCUUGUACACACCGCCCGUCAAGCCAUGAAAGCCGGGGGUGCCUGAAGUCUGUGACCGCGAGGAACGGCCUAGGGCAAAACUGGUGAUUGGGGCUAAGUCGUAACAAGGUAGCCGU
Molecule: ribosomal RNA, 986 nt
Filed under: uncultured bacterium
Lineage: Bacteria
Description: bacterial SSU rRNA
Rfam family: Bacterial small subunit ribosomal RNA
Source: RNAcentral